CCUACGGGGGGCAGCAGUGAGGAAUAUUGGUCACUGGACGAGAGUCUGAACCAGCCAAGUAGCGUGAAGGAUGACUGCCCUAUGGGUUGUAAACUUCUUUUAUAUGGGAAUAAAAUGUUCCACGUGUGGGAUUUUGUAUGUACCAUAUGAAUAAGGAUCGGCUAACUCCGUGCCAGCAGCCGCGGUAAUACGGAGGAUACUAGCGUUAUCCGGAUUUAUUGGGUUUAAAGGGAGCGUAGGUGGAUUGUUAAGUCAGUUGUGAAAGUUUGCGGCUCAACCGUAAAAUUGCAGUUGAAACUGGCAGUCGUGAGUACAGUAGAGGUGGGCGGAAUUCGUGGUGUAGCAGUGAAAUGCUUAGAUAUCACGAAGAACUCCGAUUGCGAAGGCAGCUCACUGGACUGCAACUGACACUGAGGCUCGAAAGUGUGGGUAUCAAACAGGAUUAGAUACCCCAGUAGUC
This 460-nucleotide ribosomal RNA is filed under the name uncultured bacterium. Its description in RNAcentral is "partial 16S ribosomal RNA". It matches the Rfam family "Bacterial small subunit ribosomal RNA", at positions 338 to 795 of the family's 1533-position model. The record is from RNAcentral.